CUACCCCUGACUGCAUCCCGGAGAUCGGGGCGGGGCUAAAUGUGGGCGGGGUCAAACGUUUAGAGGUGGGCGGAGACAACUAUUUGACUCCUGCGUCCUGCCCCUCUCAAUGGAACCAGGAAACCGCUAUGCUAUGUGUGUGUGCAAUGCUGUAGCCGGGACAGAGGGAAGUAGCUGCCAAAAUGGAGGUAAGCUAGGAUUUUUCUUUCUCUGUUUUAACAAUAUCGAGGACCAAUGUUGGGCGAACGUUUUAUAAACUUGGAAAUUAAAGUUUUUUUCCCAUUAUGAGUUUUAGAUGAUACAUAUAGCCUAUUUUACACAUGCGGGGCGACUUACUUUUGAGGAGAAAUGUUUACAGGGUUCCCACGGAGUCUUAAAAGCAUUGAAUUUAUGAAUUUGGAAGUAAUACCUUUAAAAGACUGGAGAAACCCUUCAAUUUUGGCAUCUGGGUCUUAAAAUUUGUGUUGGAUGUAAGUUUUCUGUACUGCAUUUUUCUUCUGAAGUUCAUCAAAAUAUUCCAAACAAGUGAUGACACCAAGAGAAGCUAUUUUUAGACAUUUAUUUCAAUUUUGUGUCUUUACUGUUUGCACUGUUGCUUUUAUACAAUAGAAAUACUGCAAGAAAUUAGGGUAAUAAAAUUAGCAAUAAUAAAAAAAAAUGUCUUAAAAUUAAACUAAAAUAUAGGCAACAAAAAUUAUUAAGGUUCUAAUGUCCAACCAGAUCGGUUAUAUUUUUAACCAUUUGUUUAAAAAUAUAACCGAUCUUCUACCAAGUGCCCACCCAGUGUUUUGUCAAAAUAUAUUGGUAAAGUUGUAUAGAUAAAUAAAUGAAAUUAGUUCAAUAAUUUUAUUUUAUUUAUUUACUUUUUUGCUGAUAGUGCCGUGAAAUAGGUAUUAAUUUUCCAUAUGGCUUUAGAAAGAUCUUAGACUUAAAUUUAAGUUGAAGAAACCUGUAGGAACACUUUUAUAGAUUUGGGGAGAUAUGUUGUGUGGUCAUGAUUACUUUUUGGUGGAAAUAUAUUUUACAGGGGGAAAUAUGUUAGUUUUUUAAGCUUUUUAUGUUCGUAUCUGAGUUCUACACCUGAUGGGCUUUAUUAUUAUGGUUAGAGUGCUAAUCUGAUGUGUGUAAUUAUAUAAACGUUUUGCUCAUUCAAGUGUCAACAGAAUAACAUGAAUGUUUUCAUAGUGAAUUAAUGUUGUCAUUGUAUCACCAAGGUCUGAGGAAGACAGAGUGCAGGCACGGAAAAGACGGAGAGAGGAAAGAGUAAAACAGGUGAGAGACAAUUUGAUUAAUUCUUGUAGUUUAACUGUUGCUUGCAGACUAAAGCAUAAUUCCUUCAUUUAUUUCAGGACCUGGAAGUGGUCCCUCCUAAGAAGUCCUGCCAUACUGAAUGAGUCUGUGCAGCAUCAGGAGAAUUCUCUGCUUGAGGACACCUUUGAGGCAGCAAGGUGGUGUACCACAAGGUCCUUCAAAGGAAGCCUUUCCCUUCCCCAGGUCAUCACCAUGGACAGGGAAGCUUGCCGGAGGGCAGUGGAGAGGUCAUGCUUCUGUGAUGGCCUGGAUGAAGAGGAGAUGAACGAUUGCAGGGAACCGUUCCUGUUCAUGUUUAGUUUUCAGUCAGACUAUGAGGAGUUCUGCAGAGAAAUUGAGGAAAAAAGGAAGAUGAAGGUGUUUUCUGGUUUUGAAAUGCCAUAGUACAGCGGUGUCACAGUUUUUGCAUUCUUUUUCCUCCUCACAUUGUUUUUUUGGAGGUUCUCUUGUUUUUUGUGUGCUUUUUGGUUCAUUUGUUUGUACUUUUUUUUAUUCCUGUGUUGGCUGUUGUUUGCUCUAUUAAAUUUACCUUUUUUGAAAAAUUUA
Molecule: non-coding RNA, 1857 nt
Organism: Nothobranchius furzeri (turquoise killifish)
Lineage: Eukaryota; Metazoa; Chordata; Actinopteri; Cyprinodontiformes; Nothobranchiidae
Source: RefSeq, a predicted model, not a curated record